UCUUUCUCAGAAGUGCAGGGUUUCCUUUGUUUUUGCUUGGUCACGAAACUGCACGCCACUAUGGCCUUUGUAUACUCAAUUGAAGAAUGGAUGUUUCCCGUUUACUGUACAUCAUGGUACGACUACAAGGCAACUCAAAUUUAGUUUCAGUUCUCUUCAGUGUGGAUCGGUAAGCUGUUUAUCUUACUUUCACUUUUAAAUUGUUUGCUCUAUCACUACACGCAUGUGGUCCUAUCUACGUCAUUUCUCUUAAUUCUAAGAUGUUAUGAAUAGGUUAUGAGAGUGGAUUUUCUACUCUCGGGUGUCGUACACCCGAGUUUGCAAACAAUUGGGAAAACAAGAUCAAACAAAGUUGAAAAAAUCUGAAAAUUUGAGACAUCAGACUUUAUCAAAUAUUCGAGCUUCUUGCAAAAUUUCAGCCAAAAAUAACAUCAGAGGAGUUCUCGCCAAAAAAAUAAAAUCAAUGUUCAAAGUUUUGUGCACUGUUUGAACAGUGAUUUUGUUUUUUAUGGUGAGAGUUCCUCGGGUGUUAUUUUUCGCUCAAAUUUUGCAAGAAGCUCAAACAUUUGAUUAUAAUUUGUCUCAAAUUUUCAGAUUUUUUUAGAUUUUGUUUUAUCAUGUUUUUUCAGUUUUUUUUUUUUGAAAUGCGGUGUACUACACUCGAGAGUUGUCACACCUUUCUAUAUAUCUCAUGGUUUUGUGGCUUAUGCCUUGGAAGCUUUUUGCCAAUGCACAAGUGCAAAGUCCUUUCAUUUUCCUCCUGCACACCAUCUCUCUCUGUAUCCUCAGUCGCGUACUAUAACAUUUGACAACAAGUCAGUGUUGUGUUGGUCUCAAUGGGCUGGCACAGUACUAUAGACUAUGGCUAAAGGCUAUGUUUACAAACAUAAAAUAAUGAUUCAAAGAAGAGGAGCAGACGGUGCUACGAUAUUUACCUCAAGGUGGUGAAUCAAUGAACCGAGGGACUUAUUAUUCGGUGAGGCCAGCGGGGUAUUCCAUUUCCUGCAUUUCAUCUUCAGUAUGCUGACUCCAAUCUCCAAAGUCCUCGAUGCUUCUUUCUUAGUCCAUUUAAAUGGGUAAUUGUUUUUACCAGUUGGUACAUGCUUUUCUUUCAAUAUGCACUCUCACAAUAAUAUACUUUUUCUGUUCUUCAAUUUGAUUUGUUGAUGGUACAAGGGAAUCAUUGAAAAAAUGUCUUCUCAUCAAGGAUUGGGCUGUGUUCUCAUUAUAGAACAUAAUUUAUUAUGUGAGGCAUUUGCCAUUUCAACAUCUUGUCUAGGGUAUAUUUUUUUCCACUAAACUGAACUGCCUCGCAAACAAAUUGUAUGUAAUACCCUCUUCUCCAUAAAUAAAUGGCAUCUGCUUGGGCAGUAGGUCAUGCUUGGCAGAAUCGCCUCCUCCCGGUCUUCAGCACUCCUGCAGGAAUUGAGCGCCAGUGUGGUCGGGACACACAGAACACCAACAAGCGACAAAAAUGCACCACUCCAAUAUGCAGCCAGAGUUUGGGCAAUGAUCAAAACAUCGCUUGGUUUACAUGAUGUUCAUCCUACGGAUUGGGGAGGCAUGGUUUCCAUCAAGGAGUGGUGGCGCAGCAACACUUACGGGAGGUCGCAAUCUCGAAGGCUGCUUGUUUCCCAUAUUCUUAACCCUUGGGAAAUCUGGGAUGAGUGAAAUGCUCGGGUGUUCCGCAACAAUGCGACUCCGGUCGUUGUGCUUGUGACACGUCAAAGCGGAGGCAUCAUCGGGGUGCCUUGCCGGGCGAAAUAUUUGUGUAAUAUAAUGCCGCGAGAGUGAUUCUUAAAAUCUUCCUCUUAUUCAAUGAGAAUGACAAGCCUUUUGACAUGUUUCAAACAAAAUAUGGACCCGAAUAGAGUGAAAUGUUUAAUAUGUGCAUACCAUUUCUGGAUUGAGAGAUCUA
Triticum urartu is the source of this 1918-nucleotide non-coding RNA. NCBI's taxonomy places the organism in Eukaryota, Viridiplantae, Streptophyta, Magnoliopsida, Poales, Poaceae. The record is from RefSeq and is a predicted model, not a curated record.